CCCCCGUCACUAACUAUAUUUUUGUGCCUGUCACAAGUCAGAUGUCUGUUAUUCAGUGUGUGUCGUUUGUUACAGUGUUACAUACUUGUUGGUUUUUUGUUAAUUUUUUUUGUACAUAAAUUGCGCUGUUAGUUUUCUCGUUUUAAUAUUUUUUUCAUUUGUCAUUUCGGGGCCUUUUAUAGCUGAAUCCGCGUUAUGGGUUUUGCCUAUGAUUUAAGGCCUUAUGGUGGCCGAUACUAGUAGUUGUUAAUCAUUGUGUCAUUCGGUCUCUUGCGAGUAGUUAUUUUAUUGACAAUCACAUCGCAUCUUCUUUUUUAUACUGAUACGAAUUUAGUCAUUUCAGUUCUUAUACAUCCUUGGCGAUCAAACGUUCGGCUCUGAGUCUUCUUAGUGAUGGUAAAUACAGACAAAAAUACCCUUGGAUACAUCAAAUCUUUAAUGGUUUGUUUUCUGAUUUCUAAAAUAAAAAUUUGUUUUUGAGAGCCGUUGUGUGUGUCCUCCUUAAAGAAAAUUAGCGAGGUGACAUUUUGCGCAAUGGUUUUUUAUCUCGAGAUAAUCGACAACAUCCAGUCGCAAAAAAUUGCCAUUUUCACUGCAGAACAUAUACAUUGCACCAAUUAAGAUCGGAACUUUUUUAAUCGUUU
This 644-nucleotide long non-coding RNA is filed under the name Mytilus galloprovincialis (Mediterranean mussel). Lineage: Eukaryota; Metazoa; Mollusca; Bivalvia; Mytilida; Mytilidae. The record is from RNAcentral.